AAAGAAUUGACGGGGGCCCGCACAAGCGGUGGAGCAUGUGGUUUAAUUCGAUGCAACGCGAAGACCCUUNCCUACUCUUGACAUCCUGCGAACCCGACUGAGAGGUUGGGGUGCCGAAAGGAACGCAGAGACAGGUGCUGCAUGGCUGUCGUCAGCUCGUGUUGUGAGAUGUUGGGUUAAGUCCCGUAACGAGCGCAACCCUUGUCCUUAGUUGCCAUCAUUUAGUUGGGGACUCUAAGGAGACUGCCGGUGAGGAACCGGAGGAAGGCGGGGACGACGUCAAGUCAUCAUGGCCUUUAUGAGUAGGGCUACACACGUGCUACAAUGGGGCGUACAGAGGGUCGCCAACCUGUAAAGGGGAGCCAAUCUCAAAAAGCGUCUCGUAGUCCGGAUUGGAGUCUGCAACUCGACUCCA
This 415-nucleotide ribosomal RNA is filed under the name uncultured bacterium. RNAcentral describes it as "bacterial SSU rRNA". It matches the Rfam family "Bacterial small subunit ribosomal RNA", at positions 904 to 1320 of the family's 1533-position model. The record is from RNAcentral.